CCUACGGGAGGCUGCAAUUAGGAAUCUUGCGCAAUGGGCGAAAGCCUGACGCAGCGACGCCGCGUGACUGAUGAAGUCUCUCGGGAUGUAAAGGUCUUUUCUGGAGGAAGAAAAAAAUGACGGUACUCCAGGAAUAAGCCCCGGCUAACUACGUGCCAGCAGCCGCGGUAAUACGUAGGGGGCGAGCGUUGUCCGAAUUUACUGGGCGUAAAGCGCGCGUAGGCGGACUAUUAAGUUGGUGGUGAAAUCCCGAGGCUCAACCUCGGAACUGCCUCCAAAACUGUUAGUCUUGAGGUAUGGAGAGGAGAGUGGAAUUCCUGGUGUAGCGGUGAAAUGCGUAGAUAUCAGGAGGAACACCCAUGGCGAAGGCAGCUUUCUGGCCAUAUUCUGACGCUGAUGUGCGAAAGCUAGGGUAGCGAACG
RNAcentral lists this ribosomal RNA (422 nucleotides) under uncultured prokaryote. Its description in RNAcentral is "bacterial SSU rRNA". It matches the Rfam family "Bacterial small subunit ribosomal RNA", at positions 338 to 774 of the family's 1533-position model. The record is from RNAcentral.